Non-coding RNA from Arabis alpina (gray rockcress), 107 nucleotides. Lineage: Eukaryota; Viridiplantae; Streptophyta; Magnoliopsida; Brassicales; Brassicaceae. The record is from Rfam.
AUUCCAUGAUGAGGGCAACUUCUUGUGUAUCCUUUCAAUCUUUCUUAGGCGUCACUGGGUGAUUCUUGACAUCCAUGCCUUAAUGAGUUGAUAUCAUUCCUGAAUUU